GACGGAGGGUGCAAGCGUUGCUCGGAAUCACUGGGCGUAAAGGGUGCGUAGGCGGCGCGGUAAGUCGGGUGUGAAAUCUCGGAGCUCAACUCCGAAACUGCAUUCGAUACUGCCGUGCUUGAGGACUGGAGAGGAGACUGGAAUUUACGGUGUAGCGGUGAAAUGCGUAGAUAUCGUAAGGAAGACCAGUGGCGAAGGCGGGUCUCUGGACAGUUCCUGACGCUGAGGCACGAAGGUCAGGGGAGCAAACGGG
Molecule: ribosomal RNA, 253 nt
Filed under: uncultured bacterium
Lineage: Bacteria
Description: partial 16S ribosomal RNA
Rfam family: Bacterial small subunit ribosomal RNA
Source: RNAcentral